This 103-nucleotide small nuclear RNA is filed under the name Moschus moschiferus (Siberian musk deer). Lineage: Eukaryota; Metazoa; Chordata; Mammalia; Artiodactyla; Moschidae. The record is from RNAcentral.
GUGCUCGCUUCGGCAGCACAUACAUUAAAAUUGGAAUGAUAAGGAGAUUAGCAUAGCCCCUGCCAAGGAUGACACACAAAUCCGUGAAGUGUUCCAUAUUUUG